Molecule: ribosomal RNA, 441 nt
Filed under: uncultured bacterium
Lineage: Bacteria
Description: bacterial SSU rRNA
Rfam family: Bacterial small subunit ribosomal RNA
Source: RNAcentral
AACGCGAAGAACCUUACCAAGUCUUGACAUCCCUCUGAAUCCAUUAGAGAUAGUGGCGGCCUUCGGGACAGAGGAGACAGGUGGUGCAUGGUUGUCGUCAGCUCGUGUCGUGAGAUGUUGGGUUAAGUCCCGCAACGAGCGCAACCCUUGAUUUUAGUUGUCAGCAGGUAAGGCUGGGCACUCUAGAAUGACUGCCGGUGACAAACCGGAGGAAGGCGGGGAUGACGUCAAAUCAUCAUGCCCCUUAUGACUUGGGCUACACACGUACUACAAUGGUCGAUACAACGGGAAGCGAAAGAGCGAUCUGGAGCCAAUCCUAUCAAAGUCGAUCUCAGUUCGGAUUGCAGGCUGCAACCCGCCUGCAUGAAGUCGGAAUUGCUAGUAAUCGCGGAUCAGCAUGCCGCGGUGAAUACGUUCCCGGGCCUUGUACACACCGAUAGC